AAGAAGGUCUUCGGAUUGUAAAGCUCUUUAAGCAGGGAAGAAGGAAGUGACGGUACCUGCAGAAUAAGCCACGGCUAACUACGUGCCACCAGCCGCGGUAAUACGUAGGUGGCAAGCGUUAUCCGGAAUUACUGGGCGUAAAGGGUGUGUAGGCGGGAGGACAAGUCAGAUGUGAAAAUUACGGGCUUAACCCGUAACCUGCAUUUGAAACUGUUCUUCUUGAGGAUGGGAGAGGUAAACGGAAUUCCCGGUGUAGCGGUGAAAUGCGU
This 269-nucleotide ribosomal RNA is filed under the name uncultured bacterium. RNAcentral's name for it is "partial 16S ribosomal RNA". It matches the Rfam family "Bacterial small subunit ribosomal RNA", at positions 408 to 691 of the family's 1533-position model. The record is from RNAcentral.